AGAUAAGUAAGUAAGGGCGCACGGUGGAUGCCUUGGCACUAGAAGCCGAUGAAGGACGUUACUAACGACGAUAUGCUUUGGGGAGCUGUAAGUAAGCUUUGAUCCAGAGAUUUCC
Molecule: ribosomal RNA, 115 nt
Filed under: Staphylococcus aureus
Lineage: Bacteria; Bacillati; Bacillota; Bacilli; Caryophanales; Staphylococcaceae
Description: partial 23S ribosomal RNA
Rfam family: Bacterial large subunit ribosomal RNA
Source: RNAcentral